AGUACAACGGAGGUGCCUGGGCUGUUGCUGACCUCAAGGUCGUGCACGCCCGGAGUGCUCUCUCACAUCCAUCUCACCCCUUUGUGCAUCAUCGCGUGGGGCCCUCUCCUUUGGCUUGUUCCGGAAGGGGGGGGGUUCACGUUUUUACACGAACAACCCAUUAAUGCAUGUGUAGAAUGUCUUACUUUUUGCGGUCACACGCAAUCAAUACAACUUUCAACAACGGAUCUCUUGGCUCUCGCAUCGAUGAAGAACGCAGCGAAAUGCGAUACGUAAUGUGAAUUGCAGAAUUCAGUGAAUCAUCGAAUCUUUGAACGCACCUUGCGCCCCUUGGUAUUCCGAGGGGUGCACCCGUUUGAGUGUCGUGAACACCCUCAACCUUCUUGGUUUAUCGACCGGGAAGGCUUGGACUUUGGAGGUUUUUGUUGCUGGCCUCGUUUGAAGCCAGCUCCUCCUAAACGAAUUAGUGGGGUCCGCCGUGCCGACCCUCGACGUGAUAAGUACGCUUCUACGUCUUGGGGGUUUCGCACUGUCGCCUGCUUCCAACCGUCUUCGAAUGAAGACAACCUUAUAGACCUUGACCUCAAUCGGGUG
RNAcentral lists this ribosomal RNA (594 nucleotides) under uncultured Russula. RNAcentral's name for it is "eukaryotic LSU rRNA". The stretch from base 212 to 365 matches the Rfam family "5.8S ribosomal RNA". The record is from RNAcentral. Lineage: Eukaryota; Fungi; Basidiomycota; Agaricomycetes; Russulales; Russulaceae.